GACGAACGCUGGCGGCGUGCCUAAUACAUGCAAGUCGAACGCACUCUCGUUUAGAUUGAAGGAGCUUGCUCCUGAUUGAUAAACAUUUGAGUGAGUGGCGGACGGGUGAGUAACACGUGGGUAACCUGCCCUAAAGUGGGGGAUAACAUUUGGAAACAGAUGCUAAUACCGCAUAAAACCUAACACCGCAUGGUGUAGGGUUGAAAGAUGGUUUCGGCUAUCACUUUAGGAUGGACCCGCGGUGCAUUAGUUAGUUGGUGAGGUAAAGGCUCACCAAGACCGUGAUGCAUAGCCGACCUGAGAGGGUAAUCGGCCACACUGGGACAGAGACACGGCCCAGACUCCUACGGGAGGCAGCAGUAGGGAAUCUUCCACAAUGGACGAAAGUCUGAUGGAGCAACGCCGACGUGAGUGAAGAAGGUUUC
This 425-nucleotide ribosomal RNA is filed under the name uncultured bacterium. RNAcentral describes it as "bacterial SSU rRNA". It matches the Rfam family "Bacterial small subunit ribosomal RNA", at positions 28 to 418 of the family's 1533-position model. The record is from RNAcentral.